This is a long non-coding RNA of Suncus etruscus (white-toothed pygmy shrew), 213 nucleotides long. RefSeq lists it as uncharacterized. The record is from RefSeq and is a predicted model, not a curated record. The transcript is spliced from 3 exons. Lineage: Eukaryota; Metazoa; Chordata; Mammalia; Eulipotyphla; Soricidae.
CCACAGACACUCGGUCCGCAGAAACUCCGUCCCGCGGAUUCUCGGUUCCCAGCGUCUUGCUCAUGAAAGGACAAGGGACCAAAGGCGGUCGUGGCCCAGGAUUUUCUGCCUCCAAGGACUUCUGGACUGGGCUGAGAGUAGCAGCAUGGAAUAAUACUUAUCAUCCAGUGGCAUCACCAGAUCAUAAUCGGAGGACGUGCAGUGACUGUUGGU